UUUAUGGAGAGUUUGAUCCUGGCUCAGGAUGAACGCUGGCGGCGUGCCUAAUACAUGCAAGUCGAGCGAACGGACGAGAAGCUUGCUUCUCUGAUGUUAGCGGCGGACGGGUGAGUAACACGUGGAUAACCUACCUAUAAGACUGGGAUAACUUCGGGAAACCGGAGCUAAUACCGGAUAAUAUUUUGAACCGCAUGGUUCAAAAGUGAAAGACGGUCUUGCUGUCACUUAUAGAUGGAUCCGCGCUGCAUUAGCUAGUUGGUAAGGUAACGGCUUACCAAGGCAACGAUGCAUAGCCGACCUGAGAGGGUGAUCGGCCACACUGGAACUGAGACACGGUCCAGACUCCUACGGGAGGCAGCAGUAGGGAAUCUUCCGCAAUGGGCGAAAGCCUGACGGAGCAACGCCGCGUGAGUGAUGAAGGUCUUCGGAUCGUAAAACUCUGUUAUUAGGGAAGAACAUAUGUGUAAGUAACUGUGCACAUCUUGACGGUACCUAAUCAGAAAGCCACGGCUAACUACGUGCCAGCAGCCGCGGUAAUACGUAGGUGGCAAGCGUUAUCCGGAAUUAUUGGGCGUAAAGCGCGCGUAGGCGGUUUUUUAAGUCUGAUGUGAAAGCCCACGGCUCAACCGUGGAGGGUCAUUGGAAACUGGAAAACUUGAGUGCAGAAGAGGAAAGUGGAAUUCCAUGUGUAGCGGUGAAAUGCGCAGAGAUAUGGAGGAACACCAGUGGCGAAGGCGACUUUCUGGUCUGUAACUGACGCUGAUGUGCGAAAGCGUGGGGAUCAAACAGGAUUAGAUACCCUGGUAGUCCACGCCGUAAACGAUGAGUGCUAAGUGUUAGGGGGUUUCCGCCCCUUAGUGCUGCAGCUAACGCAUUAAGCACUCCGCCUGGGGAGUACGACCGCAAGGUUGAAACUCAAAGGAAUUGACGGGGACCCGCACAAGCGGUGGAGCAUGUGGUUUAAUUCGAAGCAACGCGAAGAACCUUACCAAAUCUUGACAUCCUUUGACAACUCUAGAGAUAGAGCCUUCCCCUUCGGGGGACAAAGUGACAGGUGGUGCAUGGUUGUCGUCAGCUCGUGUCGUGAGAUGUUGGGUUAAGUCCCGCAACGAGCGCAACCCUUAAGCUUAGUUGCCAUCAUUAAGUUGGGCACUCUAAGUUGACUGCCGGUGACAAACCGGAGGAAGGUGGGGAUGACGUCAAAUCAUCAUGCCCCUUAUGAUUUGGGCUACACACGUGCUACAAUGGACAAUACAAAGGGCAGCGAAACUGCGAGGCCAAGCAAAUCCCAUAAAGUUGUUCUCAGUUCGGAUUGUAGUCUGCAACUCGACUACAUGAAGCUGGAAUCGCUAGUAAUCGUAGAUCAGCAUGCUACGGUGAAUACGUUCCCGGGUCUUGUACACACCGCCCGUCACACCACGAGAGUUUGUAACACCCGAAGCCGGUGGAGUAACCUUUUAGGAGCUAGCCGUCGAAGGUGGGACAAAUGAUUGGGGUGAAGUCGUAACAAGGUAGCCGUAUCGGAAGGUGCGGCUGGAUCACCUCCUUUCU
Molecule: ribosomal RNA, 1554 nt
Filed under: Staphylococcus aureus
Lineage: Bacteria; Bacillati; Bacillota; Bacilli; Caryophanales; Staphylococcaceae
Description: 16S ribosomal RNA
Rfam family: Bacterial small subunit ribosomal RNA
Source: RNAcentral